AGCAGCCGCGGUAAUUCCAGCUCCAAUAGCGUAUAUUAAAGUUGUUGCAGUUAAAAAGCUCGUAGUUGAAUUUUGGAUUCUACCAAUUGGUCCAUCUUUUAGAUGAGUACUGGUUGUGUGGGGUCUAUCCGCCUGGUGAUACGUAAUGUCCUUUAUUGGAUGUUGCGGGUAGUCAGGACCUUUACCUUGAAAAAAUUAGAGUGUUUAAAGCAGGCUUAUGCCGGAAUACAUUAGCAUGGAAUAAUAGAAUAGGACGAAGUUGUUUUAUUUUGUUGGUUUCUAGGACAACCGUAAUGAUUAAUAGGGAUAGUUGGGGGCAUUAGUAUUCAAUUGUCAGAGGUGAAAUUCUUGGAUUUAUUGAAGACUAACUACUGCGAAAGCAUUUGCCAAGGAUGUUUUCAUUAAUCAAGAACGAAAGUUAGGGGAUCGAAGACGAUCAGAUACCGUCGUAGUCUUAACCAUAAACUAUGCCGACUAGGGAUCGGGCGAUGUUGUUUCCAUGACUCGCUCGGCACCUUAUG
This 521-nucleotide ribosomal RNA is filed under the name uncultured Archaeosporaceae. Its description in RNAcentral is "SSU rRNA". It matches the Rfam family "Eukaryotic small subunit ribosomal RNA", at positions 569 to 1092 of the family's 1831-position model. Lineage: Eukaryota; Fungi; Glomeromycota; Glomeromycetes; Archaeosporales; Archaeosporaceae. The record is from RNAcentral.